Molecule: ribosomal RNA, 896 nt
Filed under: Niesslia pulchriseta
Lineage: Eukaryota; Fungi; Ascomycota; Sordariomycetes; Hypocreales; Niessliaceae
Description: LSU rRNA
Rfam family: Eukaryotic large subunit ribosomal RNA
Source: RNAcentral
GCAUAUCAAUAAGCGGAGGAAAAGAAACCAACAGGGAUUGCCCCAGUAACGGCGAAGUGAAGCGGCAACAGCUCAAAUUUGAAAUCUGGCCCCCAGGGUCCGAGUUGUAAUUUGUAGAGGAUGCUUUUGGCGCGGUGCCUUCCGAGUUCCCUGGAACGGGACGCCAUAGAGGGUGAGAGCCCCGUCUGGUUGGACACCUAGCCUCUGUAAAGCUCCUUCGACGAGUCGAGUAGUUUGGGAAUGCUGCUCUAAAUGGGAGGUAUAUGUCUUCUAAAGCUAAAUACCGGCCAGAGACCGAUAGCGCACAAGUAGAGUGAUCGAAAGAUGAAAAGCACUUUGAAAAGAGGGUUAAAUAGUACGUGAAAUUGUUGAAAGGGAAGCGUUUGUGACCAGACUUGGGCUCGGUUAAUCAUCCAGCGUUCUCGCUGGUGCACUUUGCCGGCCCAGGCCAGCAUCAGUUCGCGCCGGGGGACAAAGGCUUCGGGAACGUGGCUCCCUCGGGAGUGUUAUAGCCCGCUGCGUAAUACCCUGGUGCGGACUGAGGUUCGCGCUCCGCAAGGAUGCUGGCGUAAUGGUCAUCAGCGACCCGUCUUGAAACACGGACCAAGGAGUCGUCUUCGUAUGCGAGUGUUCGGGUGUCAAACCCCUACGCGUAAUGAAAGUGAACGCAGGUGAGAGCUUCGGCGCAUCAUCGACCGAUCCUGAUGUUCUCGGAUGGAUUUGAGUAAGAGCAUACGGGGCCGGACCCGAAAGAAGGUGAACUAUGCCUGUAUAGGGUGAAGCCAGAGGAAACUCUGGUGGAGGCUCGCAGCGGUUCUGACGUGCAAAUCGAUCGUCAAAUAUGGGCAUGGGGGGCGAAAGACUAAUCGAACCUUCUAGUAGCUGGGUUUCCGCCG